AAAAUGUGUAACUGUCUACAUGCCAUUGAUUACAUGACAAUAUUAAUCUAAAGACAAAAAAUUCUAUCUGGAGCUCAUUUAAGUGCUAUAAUUUUAACAGCCUCUGGCAAGUACACAGUUUAAACUACAUGAUUAAAACUAGGUAAGAACAAAGACAAAUGGCGUAACUUGGUAUUUUAAAUGCCAUAAAAUUCGAGCUUGAGUAUAAAGUUUACAGUAGGGCUUUUAUUUUUCAUCUUUACUAAUAGGAUUUGUAAAAGAACAUUUGCCAAAGCU
Sapajus apella (tufted capuchin) is the source of this 276-nucleotide long non-coding RNA. RefSeq lists it as uncharacterized. Lineage: Eukaryota; Metazoa; Chordata; Mammalia; Primates; Cebidae. The transcript is spliced from 2 exons. The record is from RefSeq and is a predicted model, not a curated record.